RNAcentral lists this ribosomal RNA (292 nucleotides) under uncultured bacterium. Its description in RNAcentral is "partial 16S ribosomal RNA". The record is from RNAcentral.
GGACUACUAGGGUUUCUAAUCCUGUUUGCUCCCCACGCUUUCGCGUCUCAGCGUCAGUAGCCGUCCAGAGGGCCGCCUUCGCCACCGGUGUUCCUCCUGAUAUCUACGCAUUUCACCGCUACACCAGGAAUUCCACCCUCCUCUCCGGUACUCUAGCCUCUCAGUAUCCAGUGCACUUCCGGGGGUGAGCCCCGGGCUUUCACACCAGACUUAAGAAGCCGCCUACACGCGCUUUACGCCCAGUGAUUCCGAACAACGCUCGCACCCUCCGUAUUACCGCGGCUGCUGGCAC